RNAcentral lists this transfer RNA (69 nucleotides) under Aphanotorulus emarginatus. RNAcentral describes it as "tRNA-Glu". It matches the Rfam family "tRNA". From Rfam's summary of the family: Transfer RNA (tRNA) molecules are approximately 80 nucleotides in length. Their secondary structure includes four short double-helical elements and three loops (D, anti-codon, and T loops). Lineage: Eukaryota; Metazoa; Chordata; Actinopteri; Siluriformes; Loricariidae. The record is from RNAcentral.
GUUCUUGUAGUUGAAGUACAACGUUGGGUUUUCAAGCCAUUAGUCUCGGUUAGAGUCCGGGCAAGAAUU